Molecule: long non-coding RNA, 4096 nt
Filed under: Homo sapiens (human)
Lineage: Eukaryota; Metazoa; Chordata; Mammalia; Primates; Hominidae
Description: HSALNT0242787
Source: RNAcentral
AUAUUCAACUAGUGGACUAUAGAAUGAAUUAGUGACAGAAAUAUGGGAAAAAGGGCUAAUCAAAAAUUUAGGCAAUGAUUAAUGCUGGGAAAAACAAAAAGUUGUUCAAAAGAGAAACAUGUAAUUGUGUAUUUCUUUGAUUUAAAAUAUACAUUUUAAUUAGAAACAAAUAUAUUCAUCAAGGAGCAGAAUCUGCCCAGUGAUUCCAUUCCUUUUCUUUCUUUUAAAUGCUUGAUCAUUGUUUUCUUAUUUUAGAUAUUAUUUCAUCCAUUGAUGAUGGAAAAAAAGCAUUUAGCUGAGCAUGGUGGUGCACGCAUGUAGUCCCAGCUGCUUAGGAGGCUGAGGCAGAAAGAUCACGUGAGCCCAGGAGUUCGAGGCUGCAGCGAGCUAUGAUUGCACCACGGCACUCCAGCCUGAAUGAGAAUUGAUUUCUAUAAUUAUAUGGAAGCAUGUGAAAACCCUACCAUUUCCAAGGAUCUGACCAACAAUUACAGCAGGAAAUGUGGUCAUCUAAUUUAACUCUUAAACAUCAUCAGCAAGACUAAAAGCUUGGAUGCAUCCCAAUUAUCCCCACAAAUUAAUGGUGUGGUAUCAAGAAUAAUCCACAACACUUCCACUUAGCUUUGGGAUUCAUUCUAUUUUUUGGUUUGCCGUAGAUUCCAAUUAACAUUUUGGUUUAUUCAGGCUGAUUUUAAAAUAUGUUGACUUAAUUACAUACUCAAGCCAUCUAGUCUACAAAUAUGCCUAGUUAGAUAAAAGAGAUAAUAUUCUUGAAUUUGACAUAGUCCUUGAAUUUCUAAGGGCUGUUUUACACUGAGACCUAGUUACAUGGUCAUAUGGUUUAUCCGUGUCCCCACCCAAAUCUCAUCUUGAAUUAUAGCUCCCAUAAUCCCCACAUGUUGUGGGAGGGACCUGGUGGGAGGUAAUUGAAUCAUGGGGGUGGGUUUUCCUGUGCUGUUCUCAUGAUAGUGAAUAAGUCUCACGAUAUCUGACGGUUUUAUAAAGAGGAGUUCCCCCGCACGAGCUCUCUUGCCCCGUGAGACGCCUGUAGACCCAGCUACUUGGGAGGCCAUUGCUCCUCCUUAGCCUUCUGCCAUGAUUGUGAAACCUCCCCAGCCAUGUGGAACUGUGACUCCAUUUUUCUUUAUAAAUUACACAGUCUCGGGUAUUUCUUCAUAGGAAUAUGAAAAUGGACUACUAUGCAUGGUAACAACAGAGAACUCUGUGGUGUCUGCCCAGCUCAUAAUUCCUUCUCCUCUAAGAACAGCCCUCCAUUCUACCCCCUGGGUAGAAGCCAUGUUUUAGUCACAUAACACCAUUGCCUAGAACUCAGCUAAGUGCACAAUGGCUGAGCACCAGAACCAAAUUGAGCCAAUCAGAGCCCCUUCUUAGGAAUUUACAGUUGUGACUGAAAGUAAAAUCUCAAUGACAGUUCACUUAUACAGACACUAUAUUAACUUGAGAACUGAGGCUCAGCCAUUGUCUUAGGAGUAGAUGAGUAAUACAGAUAUAUUUGCAAAGACAUUUGAAGAGAAAAAUGGAGGACAAAAUAAAGAAAGCCUGUUUUCUGGGCUCCUCAUGGCUCUCCAUCUCUAGUCCCUUUUGAGUCACGGCUCCAUCUCUGCUGCUGGCUUCCAGAAUACAUUCAUGUCUUCUUUCAUUAUCUUAAAUUCUCCCUUCCUGCUUAGACUAAUUAAAAUUGAUUUCUGUUAUUAUCAACAAAAAGAAUCCUGCUAAAUAGGCUUUUUUUUGUAACUGAAUUGAAAAUUAUAGCUUGCUUUUUUUUUUUUUUUUUUGCAUUAACUUGUAGCUUAACUAUACAGAGAAGUGGCUUGGCACCAGAGACUUCAGAUAACUAAAACAUGAUUCAUAUUGAGGAUAUUUUAUCUUAUUUUCUGCACCAGUCUCUAGUUCUAUAAAGCUUAAGCUUUACUGUAUAAUGAGAAUGAUACACUGAAUUUAUGAGGUUAAAUGGAGGGUCACAGCAGUGGAACUUUUUAUUGUAAUGUACAACUGCAUUCCUGAAUCAGGCACAGGUUAAUACAUAAUAAUUAUUCUCUGGAAACAAUGGCAAAGCAUUCCUAGCAACAGACAAAUCAAAUAGCUACUGGAGUAUUAUGGCUGUCAUUUGUUAAUUACUCCCAGAUAGCUGCAAAACACACAUGCUCUUCGGCAAAAACUGAAACCCCAAACCCCUUAGAGAAAAAAGGAGGAUCAGGUGCUACAAUGCAAAGAGCACCAAAAUGGGUGUCUGCUGAUGUGAACCCAUCUUUGCAACUAUCUUCACUUCUGUGAAUUUUAGCUUCUUCAUCUCAUUUGAAAUACAGAAAAUUCAGCAUGAGAUCCAAAGGCCAAAAGUAGCUCAAUAGACCAUGUGCUAAGUCCUUCUUUUUCUGAACAUGUUGUUAAACAUUUUAUGCCCCCAUUUCCUCAACUGUAUAAGGGAAAUGCUACUUGUACCUACCUCAUAUGGUGGUUGUGGGGUAGUUAUUACAUAGUAAGUGCUUGGAAGAGUAGCACAUAGGAGUACUCAAUUAAUGACAGCUAUAUUGGUUUUUUAUUUUUUUAUUAUUCCUGAGGAUUUUUUUUAAACAGGCUAACUAGUUAUGAGCAUCUCACUGGUAUAUUUACUUUGACCAUUGCCAACUAUAUAUUUCAUGUAGCUUGUUAAACAAAUUUAUAACUGUAACCAAAGCUAAAUAUAUGUAAUGAUGGUAUUUUAAGACAUUCAAGUUAAAUUCCACUAAAAGUAAAUCACUAAACUGGGGUGACAUAAAGCAUGAUUGAAUAAGGAAGAAUGGGUCUGAAGAAAGCCUGCCGAUAGCAUCUGAUUCAUUUUUGAAUCAUGGCCAAUUUUUAUGCUACAAGAAUAGCUUUCCAUGUUGCCUUUACACUUCUGGAUUUCAUAUCAUGAGGGUAAAUUGCUGAAAAUGUACACACAAAAGAAAAAGAACAUAAAAAACAUAUACAUAUUCUAUUUGUUUGAGUUCUAAUGUUGCUUUCAGGUCAGACAUUCUGGAUUUUCAUGGUUUUGGCUUCAGAAAAUUCUAAGUCUAGAAAGCAGCUGUUUCUAUGGGUAUCCCAAAGAAGAAAACUGCUACAUGAAACAAGAGCAAACUGUGGUCUCAUCUGCACAUUUGCAGAGUAGCAUCAGAUCCAUGGAGAUGCUGCUCACUGAAAAAGUAACACCCAUUGUGUUGGACCUCACCUACGUGACCUUUCCGGGGCAUAGUCUGGAAGGACAUGGAAAAUUAAAAGAGAAGUUAAACACUGCACAAUUAAGUGAGAAGAACUUUGAAUCUCAAUGAAUAACUCAGGCAAGACAAUAGGAAGAGAAUGGAGAUAAGGAGAAGGUAUGAGCUACAAGAAGGAAGGUCAGCCCUCCGCCAAACCAGCAAGAUAUUCCCUGUGGUGAAGAAUGGCUGAUGAAUUUCAGCACAAAGCUAUCUAAUGUUCAGUUUCAAGUUGCUAUCUACAUGAUGCUAUGCCAUCAUCCCUCCAUUACUGCAAAGCUUCAGUAAAAGAGAGAAAGAAAGUUAACAGCAGAAAUGAGGAGCAAUAUUUAGGAAGCAUAACGGGGCAUAAAGACAUGUAAACUCUACAAAAUUACACAGGUGAGACUUUUCGAUAGCAAUAUCUUAUUUCAAUUUUAAAAUUCAGGCUCAGACCAGAAAGUGAGGGUACUUGGGGUCACCCACACAACUGACACUUGGGUGACAUAUGUAUUCCUACACAAUGGAGAAAUACCUCUUCUACAUGAUGGCAAAUAUCCCUGUGAGUGUUAUCUCCUUAUCUUUCACUUUAUCUUACCAUUGUCUGGUUUGUUUAGCUCCUACUUGGGGCCUAUUCCGUACUAUUGUGUCCUCCUCAUUUAUUAUGGUUACAUUCCGCUUCUUAAACAAUUAUGUCUACUAUAGCUCCAUGUUUAUGUAAAACAGUGACUGUGUACUGAUGUUUAGUCACAAUAAAAGUAGCCCAUACAAAGUAAAAAAGAGUUGGAUUUCAAAGGACAAACACAAUUUAAGACUUUUUCCCUUUGACAUUGAUUUCUUUCGGUACGUCAGCCAAUACAUAAAAACAUGUCCACCUUAUCAAG